Molecule: ribosomal RNA, 486 nt
Filed under: uncultured bacterium
Lineage: Bacteria
Description: partial 16S ribosomal RNA
Rfam family: Bacterial small subunit ribosomal RNA
Source: RNAcentral
GACGAACGCUGGCGGCGUGCUUAACACAUGCAAGUCGAACGCUGAAGACCUGGCUUUUGUUGGGUUGGAUGAGUGGCGAACGGGUGAGUAACACGUGAGUAACCUGCCCUCUUCUUUGGGAUAACGCCCGGAAACGGGUGCUAAUACUGGAUAUUCACUGAUCUUCGCAUGGGGGUUGGUGGAAAGGUUUGUUCUGGUGAGGGAUGGGCUCGCGGCCUAUCAGCUUGUUGGUGGGGUGAUGGCCUACCAAGGCUUUGACGGGUAGCCGGCCUGAGAGGGUGACCGGUCACAUUGGGACUGAGAUACGGCCCAGACUCCUACGGGAGGCAGCAGUGGGGAAUAUUGCACAAUGGGCGAAAGCCUGAUGCAGCGACGCCGCGUGAGGGAUGGAGGCCUUCGGGUUGUAAACCUCUUUCGCUCAUGGUCAAGCCGCAACUGUGGGUUGUGGUGAGGGUAGUGGGUAAAGAAGCGCCGGCUAACUACGUG